Molecule: unclassified non-coding RNA, 310 nt
Filed under: Legionella israelensis DSM 19235
Lineage: Bacteria; Pseudomonadati; Pseudomonadota; Gammaproteobacteria; Legionellales; Legionellaceae
Description: Long range pseudoknot
Source: RNAcentral
ACGGAAACAGGGGAUUAUCAGGUCAAGCUACGCAACCUGAUACGUUUCCUUAAACAUGGUGACAAGGUCAAAAUCACGGUACGUUUUCGUGGCCGUGAGGUGGCACAUCAGGACAUUGGCAUGAAAAUUAUGGAGCGUCUGCAGGAAGAUACAGCAGAAUUUGCUGUAGUUGAACAGCAGGCAAAACGUGAAGGACGUCAAUUACUGAUGGUUUUGGCACCUAAAAAAACCAAGUAGCAGACAUUUCUGAUAAUGCAGAAUGUCGGAAGUAAUAUAAUAAAUGCGGAGUAUAUUUAUAUGCCAAAGUUAA